GUCUAUUCGUCAGUCAAAAUGUUAAUCUUGAAGGAGCAAAAGUUUGUUCAUGAGCUGUCAUGCUCGCUAGGCGAGUAGAAUGGGUCGCCUAGCGAGUCCCAAGAAAAGCCACCAGAAUCAUCUACGCUCAGAGGAAUUUCUUGAACUGUCAUGCUCGCUAGGCGAAGCCCACGUGUUUAAAAAAAACGAAAAACGAAAAAAAAAACAUAAAACGAAAAAAAAAACGAAAAAGAAAAACGAAAAAUAAAAAAUAAAAAAUAAAAUAAAAAAUAAAAAA
Molecule: long non-coding RNA, 277 nt
Filed under: Lathyrus oleraceus (garden pea)
Lineage: Eukaryota; Viridiplantae; Streptophyta; Magnoliopsida; Fabales; Fabaceae
Description: Pisum sativum (pea) long non-coding RNA (PSAT_LNC021896)
Source: RNAcentral